UUUCGGUGUAACCUCAGCGGUGCAUUUCGUUUUGCACACAGAGAGAAGCCGUUCACCAGCUAGCAGCUGUCACCAUGGCGUCAACUGAGAUAGCAAGGCAAGCGGGUGAAGGUGCUCGUGCUGUCCCUCUUUCAGGCCAUGUCGGCUUUGACAGCAUGCCUGACCAGCUGGUUAACAAGUCUGUCAACCAUGGGUUCUGUUUUAACAUCCUCUGUGUGGGUGAGACGGGUAUGGGGAAGUCCACCCUCAUGGACACUUUGUUCAACACCAAGUUUGAGGGUGAGCCCACCCAGCACAACCAGCCGGGAGUCACGCUCAAGUCCAACACUUAUGAACUGCAGGAGAGUAAUGUGCGCCUCAAACUCACAGUCGUCAACACCGUGGGCUUUGGAGACCAGAUCAAUAAAGAAGACAGCUACAAGUCCAUUGUGGAGUUUAUUGAUGCCCAGUUUGAAGCAUAUCUACAGGAGGAACUGAAAAUCAAACGCACGCUACACAGCUACCACGAUACCCGUAUCCAUGCAUGCCUGUACUUCAUUGCUCCCACGGGACACUCCCUCAAAUCCCUGGACUUGGUGACCAUGAAGAAACUUGAUAGUAAGGUUAACAUUAUCCCUAUCAUUGCCAAGUCAGAUGCCAUCUCCAAGAGCGAACUGGCCAAGUUCAAAAUCAAAAUCACCAGUGAGCUAGUCAGCAACGGGGUGCAGAUCUACCAGUUCCCCACUGAUGACGAGUCUGUGGCAGAGAUCAACUCCAGCAUGAAUAGCCAUUUGCCAUUUGCUGUGGUGGGGAGCACGGAGGAAGUGAAGCUUGGGAACAAGAUGGUGAAGGCCCGGCAGUACCCCUGGGGGACAGUGCAGGUGGAAAACGAGAAUCAUUGUGACUUUGUCAAACUGCGAGAAAUGCUAAUCAGAGUGAACAUGGAAGACCUGCGAGAGCAGACUCACACACGCCAUUAUGAGCUCUACCGCCGCUGCAAACUGGAGGAGAUGGGCUUUAAGGACACAGACCCUGACAGCAAGCCCUUCAGUCUGCAGGAGACAUAUGAAGCUAAGAGGAACGAGUUCAUGGGUGAGCUGCAGAAGAAAGAAGAAGAAAUGAGACAAAUGUUUGUCCAAAGAGUUAAAGAGAAGGAGGCUGAGCUCAAAGAAGCAGAGAAAGAGCUGCAUGAGAAGUUUGACCGUUUGAAGAAGCUCCACCAGGACGAGAAAAAGAAACUAGAGGAGAAGAAGAAGAGCCUGGAUGACGAGCUCAACAUGUUCAAACAGAAAAAGACUGCUGCAGAGCUCUUGCAGAACCAAGCUCAGCAAGCAGGGGGCUCCUCCACGCUCAAGAGGGACAAAGAGAGGAAAAACUGAUGCGACUCCGUGCCUGUUAGAAAAGGAAGAAGACACUUGUGCUGAGAAGUUAACUCCUCCCACACUUGCUGCAUGCUGCAUGAGGCACCUUUUCUGCUUAGGAUCCCUGUAGAAAAAGUGCUCCUUUGUGGCCAUCCUGCUGUGAAUGAGUUUCUACCCCAUCAUCCUUUACAGUAUACCCUCCUCACCCUCACCCAACCCCCAUAAUCCAACCCUCCACCUGCCUCCCUCGCUCUGUGGAAGAUGCUGGGCAUUGCUAUCAGUCUGAUGUCACUUUUUUUUUAUUUAUUUUUUUGCUGAAUGUUGCUUGUCUGUUACAUUGUUUGUAGAAGCAGUUGUUCAGCUUAUCUUUUUAUACUUGCAUAUAUACAAAAAUGCAUUCAGUAUGAGCUUUUUUUAAAUAAUUCUGUGAUUCUUUGCAUGAUGAAGUGAGCUUUUUUUAAUAUUAACAUACAUGACUGCAGUUGUGAUGGGUAAGAAUGUACAGAGGCAAAAGGAAAACAUGCAUUCACUAUUGGGACCUGAGUAUGUAUGUAUGUAUGUGGUCAAAGACCUACAGGCAGUGAGAGGAUGGAGAAAAUGUAUUCUUCAGAUUAAAGUGCAGCAAUCAUCUUAGUGAUUCUCAGUCCCACUCCACUCCACAGCUGCUUGUUAAUGGAUGUUCUCGAUACUUGUUAGUAAUUAAUCACUGAGUUGGGGGUUGGGCUAGUUUGUGAUUAACUAUAAUUAAGUUAUUCCUCAUUCUUGACUAAUUUGGUGACACCAGCAGAAAGAAAUACAAUAGAAGGUAUCUUUUUCAUGCAGCCAAACAAAUUGUUUUAACGUUUACAGCAGGUGUUGAGCACAAACCGAUUUCAUGCUGAACACAGCAUUUAGUCAUUGCUCCUGCAAUAUUUAAAACUGAUUUGAUAAAGAUAGUAAAAUGACAUGUCAUCUUUUGUAGAUGGUUUUUAAUUACUUACUGUGAUGAUGAAUACAUUGAGCUUCUCAUGACAGCUUCACAGUACAACCACCCCAUGUUUCAAUAAUUCCAACACUUUUAAAGUGAAGAAGCAGCAGUAGGCUAUUACAGAUAGCUUAGCACAACACUGAUUUAUGUUAAGAGUAAAAAAAACAAUACAAACAAAACAAUACUGAUAUGAGAGGGAGCAGUAAACGGUGAAGCUGAUAUUACUCAGAUAACAUUACAAAUGGUAAUGCUGGAUUAUAUGCACACCUCACGUCCGGUGAGUCUGGUGUGUGUAAAGGCAUUUGAAUCUAGGUUGACAAUGGCAGACCCUGCUACCAAUGUAGAAAACUACAUUCAGAGAAGUAAUUAUCAAAUGUAAAUCCACUGAAUGCUAAUAGCUUAAAAAAA
Monopterus albus (swamp eel) is the source of this 2715-nucleotide RNA transcript. It is a transcript of the gene named septin 6, with no coding region annotated. The record is from RefSeq and is a predicted model, not a curated record. The transcript is spliced from 12 exons. NCBI's taxonomy places the organism in Eukaryota, Metazoa, Chordata, Actinopteri, Synbranchiformes, Synbranchidae.